Molecule: ribosomal RNA, 497 nt
Filed under: uncultured bacterium
Lineage: Bacteria
Description: partial 16S ribosomal RNA
Rfam family: Bacterial small subunit ribosomal RNA
Source: RNAcentral
GACGAACGCUGGCGGCGUGCCUAAUACAUGCAAGUUGAGCGCUGAAGGUUGGUACUUGUACCAACUGGAUGAGCAGCGAACGGGUGAGUAACGCGUGGGGAAUCUGCCUUUGAGCGGGGGACAACAUUUGGAAACGAAUGCUAAUACCGCAUAAAAACUUUAAACACAAGUUUUAAGUUUGAAAGAUGCAAUUGCAUCACUCAAAGAUGAUCCCGCGUUGUAUUAGCUAGUUGGUGAGGUAAAGGCUCAACAAGGCGAUGAUACAUAGCCGACCUGAGAGGGUGGUCGGCCAAAUUGGGACUGAGACAAGGCCCAAACUCCUAAGGGAGGCAGCAGUAGGGAAUCUUCGGCAAUGGACGAAAGUCUGACCGAGCAACGCCGCGUGAGUGAAGAAGGGUUUCGGAUCGUAAAACUCUGUUGGUAGAGAAGAACGUUGGUGAGAGUGGAAAGCUCAUCAAGUGACGGUAACUACCCAGAAAGGGACGGCUAACUACGUG